This 460-nucleotide ribosomal RNA is filed under the name uncultured bacterium. Its description in RNAcentral is "partial 16S ribosomal RNA". It matches the Rfam family "Bacterial small subunit ribosomal RNA", at positions 338 to 794 of the family's 1533-position model. The record is from RNAcentral.
CCUACGGGCGGCAGCAGUGAGGAAUAUUGGUCAAUGGGCUUACGCCUGAACCAGCCAAGUCGCGUGAGGGAAGACUGCCCUAUGGGUUGUAAACCUCUUUUGUCAGGGAGCAACGCCGGCUACGUGUAGCCGGACUGAGAGUACCUGAAGAAAAAGCAUCGGCUAACUCCGUGCCAGCAGCCGCGGUAAUACGGAGGAUGCGAGCGUUAUCCGGAAUGACUGGGCGUAAAGGGUGCGUAGGUGGUUUGACAAGUUGGUAGCGUAACUCCGGAGCUCAACUUCGGAACUACUACCAAAACUGUUGGACUCGAGUGGAGGAGGGGCAACUGGAAUUUCUAGUGUAGCGGUGGAAUGCGUAGAUAUUAGGAAGAACACCGGUGGCGAAGGCGAGUUGCUGGACUGUAACUGACACUGAGGCACGAAAGCGUGGGGAGCAAACAGGAUUAGAUACCCCAGUAGU